GAUGAACGCUGGCGGCGUGCCUAAUACAUGCAAGUCGAGCGAACAGAUGAGGAGCUUGCUCCUCUGACGUUAGCGGCGGACGGGUGAGUAACACGUGGAUAACCUACUUAUAAUACUGGGAUAACUUCGGGAAACCGGAGCUAAUACUGGAUAAUAUAUUGAACCGCAUGGUUCAAUAGUGAAAGACGGUUUGGCUGUCUCUUAUAGAUGGAUCCGCGCCGCAUUAGCUAGUUGGUAAGGUAACGGCUUACCAAGGCAACGAUGCGUAGCCGACCUGAGAGGAUGAUCGGCCACACUGGAACUGAGACACGGUCCAGACUCCUACGGGAGGCAGCAGUAGGGAAUCUUCCGCAAUGGGCGAAAGCCUGACGGAGCCACACCGCGUGAGUGAUGAAGGUCUUCGGAUCGUAAAACCCUGUUAUUAGGAAAGAACAGAUGUAGAAGAAACUAUGCACGUUUUGACGGUACCUAAACAAAAAGCAACGGCUAACUACGUG
This 497-nucleotide ribosomal RNA is filed under the name uncultured bacterium. RNAcentral describes it as "partial 16S ribosomal RNA". It matches the Rfam family "Bacterial small subunit ribosomal RNA", at positions 28 to 507 of the family's 1533-position model. The record is from RNAcentral.